CCUAACACAUGCAAGUCGAACGGAAAGGCCCUGCUUUUGUGGGGUGCUCGAGUGGCGAACGGGUGAGUAACACGUGAGUAACCUGCCCUUGACUUUGGGAUAACUUCAGGAAACUGGGGCUAAUACCGGAUAGGAGCUCCUGCUGCAUGGUGGGGGUUGGAAAGUUUCGGCGGUUGGGGAUGGACUCGCGGCUUAUCGGCUUGUUGGUGGGGUAGUGGCUUACCAAGGCUUUGACGGGUAGCCGGCCUGAGAGGGUGACCGGCCACAUUGGGACUGAGAUACGGCCCAGACUCCUACGGGAGGCAGCAGUGGGGAAUAUUGCACAAUGGGCGGAAGCCUGAUGCAGCAACGCCGCGUGCGGGAUGACGGCCUUCGGGUUGUAAACCGCUUUCGCCUGUGACGAAGCGUGAGUGACGGUAAUGGGUAAAGAAGCACCGGCUAACUACGUGCCAGCAGCCGCGGUGAUACGUAGGGUGCGAGCGUUGUCCGGAUUUAUUGGGCGUAAA
This 506-nucleotide ribosomal RNA is filed under the name uncultured bacterium. RNAcentral's name for it is "bacterial SSU rRNA". It matches the Rfam family "Bacterial small subunit ribosomal RNA", at positions 47 to 564 of the family's 1533-position model. The record is from RNAcentral.